GGAGGAAGGAGGAGGGUCAAAUCUUCCUUUUAUUAUUUUUAUUGUAGAAGAACAAAUUAAAGUAGUGCCGUUAUGAACCUGGUUUUUAUUGUAGUUUUAUUCUUGCCUGAGUUCUCAGCUGCUGCUGCUAAUAUUCACCAGCCUCCAUCAGUGUUCAUCAGAGAGGGAGAGCAGAGUGUGACCUUCCACUGUCAGCAGGACAAUGAUCAGCAUUACUAUAUGUACUGGUACAGACAAGCAAGCACUGGAGAAAUGGAGUUGGUGACAUAUUCUGCUGGUAAAGAUUUAUCGAGCAUCGAAGCUCCUUUCAACAAGUCCAAGUACACCAUGACCCGUCCAGAGCUGCUGAGAACCUCUCUGCAGAUUCACCCUGCUGAGGCCGGAGACUGUGCUGUGUAUUACUGCGCAUCCAGCCGCACAGUGCUUCAUGUUGCCUCAGCUGCUUAACAACAACCUCAGAGGAUAACAACACAAGGAUUAGGAAGUGGUAGUGAUGAAAAGGUUUAACAUGGAUAGAUAGAUAUAUCAGUGUGACAUGAAGUAUAUUUUGAAGAAUCCAGGCUUAAAACAAAGUCAACCUUUAGAAGCUUGUAGGAUCAUGGAAUAAAACCUUGUUCAGAGCUCAGUCAUGCUUCCUCGAAGCCUCAAAGCUUAUCUGUUCAGAUAGCAACGCAGGUGUCAGCUGUGUACAGUUUUCCCUUUAUGUCAUAGUAUCCUAAAUUGCUCCUCAUGUCUCUCUGUGAUUCUCUCUCCACAUUUGGGUUUUGCUAGGAUCCUACAUUGCCCUCAAAAGGAAGUUACAACGAGCAUCUUAUACUGACCUCUACUGGUUUAUUAUGAAAUUACAAAUGAAUCAUUUUAUGAAACUCCAGACAAAGAUUUAAACAACCAACUAUUGUACUAUUGAUGAGUUAGAAUUCAUCUCUAUAGAUGUUCAAACUUUUUCACGAUAAAUAAACCUAAAAUAUGCAAAGUAUAAUCUGACUUUUAUUGAUACUGUAUGCCAAAACUCUUUAGUGAUACUGUAAGUGUAUGUUCAUUUAAUAUAUUUCCAAUGCUUGAAACUUUACAUCCAGUAUGCAGUAGUGUAUGAUUUUCAAGUGAAGGGAAAAUAAUACUUAAUUUUUAAAUUUUUCUCAACAAAAGCUAAAAAUGGGGCCAUGUAUGUGUAUUAUUCCCCCUUUAUUCUGGUACCCCUUAGUAUGCGGCUUUACGUGUUUUAAUUUCAGUAUAAAUCUAUCAGUUCUGUGAAGCCCUCCAUGGUUUGUUUGAGAACAUUAGUGACCAAUUUUCACUAAUGAGCAUUGUGAUGAACACAGCAGACAGGUCAGGGAGACAGUUUAAAACAGUGUUAUAAAACAACAUCUGAAGCUUUGAAUAUCUAAUUAAUCAGGUAGCCAAGACGCACACCACAGAUCUGGCCUUUGCAUAAGGAUGGCAAGAAUAAAACGUCUUGGUUGAAAGUGGAUGAAGUUAAUCAGGGUAGAAAAUGUUUUAGAGGCUGCAAAAGACUUAGAGCUAGGGGAAGGGGUUUACAUUCCAGUAAAACAAAAUCCCUAAACAUGUUUAGAUCAAUGCAUAUUCUUGAGUUUGAGAUAGACCCAACGUUAACCUGCAACUUUUAGAUUGUAUUUCAAUACUGACAACAUUUGGGUCCUUUUGAUCCUACAACCAUUUCUUUUAAUAACGAAUUAGAAAUCAUAAGCUCAACACCUUUGUACUCAUCAUCAGCAUCAGUGGAUGUUUCUCUCUGCUGACUGAUUGGCUGAAGAGCCGUGACCAGCAGAGAUGUCACUUCCUGCCAGUGGCUCCAAACUAACAAAAACAAACAGCAGUUUCCUCCUCUCUGUUCUGCCUUCUUUUCUUAGCUGUCACAGAAAUAGCAGCAGCCAGCUACAGGCGUCAGUCAGCCCGACCUCCACAGCUGCUCCCACAGAGACACACAAAGAUGGAGGCUGAGAUAUGGAGAGGCUGGCUGGGGGAGGCAGAGAGGGGGGAGAGACAGAGGCACCAGGUUUUUGUGUGAUGCUUUUUCAUCGUGGGGACAGGGGGCCACGGUGAUACAAUCCUAUAGAGCCGCCGUACAAAAACCUCCUCCCAUUAACAUCCAUUAUGUAGACGGCUGAGUGGAUCUCAGAACGCCUCAGAGAGCAGGAAAAUGAAUCAUCUGCAGGUGGGCAGGAUGGUGGCACAGCUAGGGAUUAAAAACUGAUU
Girardinichthys multiradiatus is the source of this 2214-nucleotide non-coding RNA. The record is from the annotation of a RefSeq genome assembly. Lineage: Eukaryota; Metazoa; Chordata; Actinopteri; Cyprinodontiformes; Goodeidae.